CAUUCCAGAAAUUUUCUAGUGAGCACUCAUUAGACAGGUGCUGAAGCAUUGUCAGAAGUUGCGGUAAUCUCUGGCAAAGUCCCAGAAUGCUGGAAUUUUGUGAUACUGUCGAUGACCUUUUCUUUGUUUUUGUGAAGAGAAUGUGUAUAUUACACAUAGUCAUAUGAUUUUUUUUUUUUUUUGAGACAGAGUUUCGCUCUUGUUGCCCAGACUGGAGGGCAAUGGCGUGAUCUCGGCUCACCACAACCUCUACCUCCUAGGUUCAAGCAAUUCUCCUGCCUCAGCCUCCCAAAUAACUGGGACUACAGGCAUGCACCACCAUGCCCAGCUAUUUUGUAUUUUUAGUAGAGAUAGAGUUUCUCCAUGUUGGUCAGGCUGGUCUCAAACUCCCACCCUCAGGUAAUCUACCCGCCUUGGCCUCCCAAAGUGCUGGGAUUACAGGCGUGAGCCGCCGUGCCCGGCCUAUGACUUUUAAUUCUUGUGUCCAAAGAUGGUGAGACAUGUGUGGUAAGAUACCCAAACUGACCAGCUGUAGCAAUGGCUGCAUAACAAGAAAGAGAGAACGUGAGAGCAGUAAAUGGCCCUGAUUUAUUUACCAAUAACUCCCAGGUUCUUGAUUAUCUAUUUUUUUUCUCAGUGGACUUGAAGACCCAACUGGACUCUCC
This 665-nucleotide long non-coding RNA is filed under the name Homo sapiens (human). RNAcentral describes it as "LHRI_LNC1379.1". The record is from RNAcentral. Lineage: Eukaryota; Metazoa; Chordata; Mammalia; Primates; Hominidae.